GACGAACGCUGGCGGCGUGCUUAACACAUGCAAGUCGAACGGAAAGGCACUGGUUUGGUGGGGUACUCGAGUGGCGAACGGGUGAGUAACACGUGCGUGACCUGCCCUUGACUUUGGGAUAACCUCAGGAAACUGGGUCUAAUACCGGAUAGGACGACCUGCUGCAUGGUGGGGGUGGGAGAGUUUCCGCGGUUGGGGAUGGACUCGGGGCUUAUCAGCUUGUUGGUGGGGUAUUGGCUUCCAAAGGCUUUGACGGGUAGCCGGCCUGAGAGGGUAACCGGCCACAUUGGGACUGAGAUACGGCCCAGACUCCUACGGGAGGCAGCAGUGGGGAAUAUUGCACAAUGGGCGGAAGCCUGAUGCAGCGACGCCGCGUGCGGGAUGACGGCCUUCUGGUUGUAAACCGCUUUCGCUUGUGACGAAGCGGGAGUGACGGUAAUGGGAGAAGAAGCACCGGCUAACUACGUG
RNAcentral lists this ribosomal RNA (468 nucleotides) under uncultured bacterium. RNAcentral's name for it is "partial 16S ribosomal RNA". It matches the Rfam family "Bacterial small subunit ribosomal RNA", at positions 28 to 507 of the family's 1533-position model. The record is from RNAcentral.